ACAGCAGUAGCCGCGGGAAUACGUAGGGUGCGAGCGUUAAUCGGAAUUACUGGGCGUAAAGCGUGCGCAGGCGGUUUUGUAAGACAGGCGUGAAAUCCCCGGGCUCAACCUGGGAAUGGCGCUUGUGACUGCAAAGCUAGAGUGCGGCAGAGGGGGAUGGAAUUCCGCGUGUAGCAGUGAAGUGCGUAGAUAUGCGGAGGAACACCGAUGGCGAAGGCAAUCCCCUGGGCCUGCACUGACGCUCAUGCACGAAAGCGUGGGGAGCAAACAGGAUUAGAUACCCCAGUAGUCCCUGUCUCUUAUAC
This 305-nucleotide ribosomal RNA is filed under the name uncultured bacterium. RNAcentral describes it as "partial 16S ribosomal RNA". It matches the Rfam family "Bacterial small subunit ribosomal RNA", at positions 506 to 807 of the family's 1533-position model. The record is from RNAcentral.